UUAAGCGACUAAGCGUACACGGUGGAUGCCCUGGCAGUCAGAGGCGAUGAAGGACGUGCUAAUCUGCGAUAAGCGUCGGUGAGGUGAUAUGAACCGUUAUAACCGGCGAUUUCCGAAUGGGGAAACCCAGUGUGUUUCGACACACUAUCAUUAACUGAAUCCAUAGGUUAAUGAGGCGAACCGGGGGAACUGAAACAUCUAAGUACCCCGAGGAAAAGAAAUCAACCGAGAUUCCCCCAGUAGCGGCGAGCGAACGGGGAGGAGCCCAGAGCCUGAAUCAGUGUGUGUGUUAGUGGAAGCGUCUGGAAAGGCGCGCGAUACAGGGUGACAGCCCCGUACACAAAAAUGCACAUAUUGUGAGCUCGAUGAGUAGGGCGGGACACGUGGUAUCCUGUCUGAAUAUGGGGGGACCAUCCUCCAAGGCUAAAUACUCCUGACUGACCGAUAGUGAACCAGUACCGUGAGGGAAAGGCGAAAAGAACCCCGGCGAGGGGAGUGAAAAAGAACCUGAAACCGUGUACGUACAAGCAGUGGGAGCCUCUUAAUGGGGUGACUGCGUACCUUUUGUAUAAUGGGUCAGCGACUUAUAUUCUGUAGCAAGGUUAACCGAAUAGGGGAGCCGAAGGGAAACCGAGUCUUAACUGGGCGUUAAGUUGCAGGGUAUAGACCCGAAACCCGGUGAUCUAGCCAUGGGCAGGUUGAAGGUUGGGUAACACUAACUGGAGGACCGAACCGACUAAUGUUGAAAAAUUAGCGGAUGACUUGUGGCUGGGGGUGAAAGGCCAAUCAAACCGGGAGAUAGCUGGUUCUCCCCGAAAGCUAUUUAGGUAGCGCCUCGUGAAUUCAUCUCCGGGGGUAGAGCACUGUUUCGGCAAGGGGGUCAUCCCGACUUACCAACCCGAUGCAAACUGCGAAUACCGGAGAAUGUUAUCACGGGAGACACACGGCGGGUGCUAACGUCCGUCGUGAAGAGGGAAACAACCCAGACCGCCAGCUAAGGUCCCAAAGUCAUGGUUAAGUGGGAAACGAUGUGGGAAGGCCCAGACAGCCAGGAUGUUGGCUUAGAAGCAGCCAUCAUUUAAAGAAAGCGUAAUAGCUCACUGGUCGAGUCGGCCUGCGCGGAAGAUGUAACGGGGCUAAACCAUGCACCGAAGCUGCGGCAGCGACACUAUGUGUUGUUGGGUAGGGGAGCGUUCUGUAAGCCUGUGAAGGUGUACUGUGAGGUAUGCUGGAGGUAUCAGAAGUGCGAAUGCUGACAUAAGUAACGAUAAAGCGGGUGAAAAGCCCGCUCGCCGGAAGACCAAGGGUUCCUGUCCAACGUUAAUCGGGGCAGGGUGAGUCGACCCCUAAGGCGAGGCCGAAAGGCGUAGUCGAUGGGAAACAGGUUAAUAUUCCUGUACUUGGUGUUACUGCGAAGGGGGGACGGAGAAGGCUAUGUUGGCCGGGCGACGGUUGUCCCGGUUUAAGCGUGUAGGCUGGUUUUCCAGGCAAAUCCGGAAAAUCAAGGCUGAGGCGUGAUGACGAGGCACUACGGUGCUGAAGCGACAAAUGCCCUGCUUCCAGGAAAAGCCUCUAAGCAUCAGGUAACAUCAAAUCGUACCCCAAACCGACACAGGUGGUCAGGUAGAGAAUACCAAGGCGCUUGAGAGAACUCGGGUGAAGGAACUAGGCAAAAUGGUGCCGUAACUUCGGGAGAAGGCACGCUGAUAUGUAGGUGAAGCGACUUGCUCGUGGAGCUGAAAUCAGUCGAAGAUACCAGCUGGCUGCAACUGUUUAUUAAAAACACAGCACUGUGCAAACACGAAAGUGGACGUAUACGGUGUGACGCCUGCCCGGUGCCGGAAGGUUAAUUGAUGGGGUUAGCGGUAACGCGAAGCUCUUGAUCGAAGCCCCGGUAAACGGCGGCCGUAACUAUAACGGUCCUAAGGUAGCGAAAUUCCUUGUCGGGUAAGUUCCGACCUGCACGAAUGGCGUAAUGAUGGCCAGGCUGUCUCCACCCGAGACUCAGUGAAAUUGAACUCGCUGUGAAGAUGCAGUGUACCCGCGGCAAGACGGAAAGACCCCGUGAACCUUUACUAUAGCUUGACACUGAACAUUAAGCCUUGAUGUGUAGGAUAGGUGGGAGGCUUUGAAGUGUGGACGCCAGUCUGCAUGGAGCCGACCUUGAAAUACCACCCUUUAAUGUUUGAUGUUCUAACGUGGGCCCCUUACCGGGGUUGCGGACAGUGUCUGGUGGGUAGUUUGACUGGGGCGGUCUCCUCCUAAAGAGUAACGGAGGAGCACGAAGGUUGGCUAAUCCUGGUCGGACAUCAGGAGGUUAGUGCAAUGGCAUAAGCCAGCUUGACUGCGAGCGUGACGGCGCGAGCAGGUGCGAAAGCAGGUCAUAGUGAUCCGGUGGUUCUGAAUGGAAGGGCCAUCGCUCAACGGAUAAAAGGUACUCCGGGGAUAACAGGCUGAUACCGCCCAAGAGUUCAUAUCGACGGCGGUGUUUGGCACCUCGAUGUCGGCUCAUCACAUCCUGGGGCUGAAGUAGGUCCCAAGGGUAUGGCUGUUCGCCAUUUAAAGUGGUACGCGAGCUGGGUUUAGAACGUCGUGAGACAGUUCGGUCCCUAUCUGCCGUGGGCGCUGGAGAACUGAGGGGGGCUGCUCCUAGUACGAGAGGACCGGAGUGGACGCAUCACUGGUGUUCGGGUUGUCAUGCCAAUGGCACUGCCCGGUAGCUAAAUGCGGAAGAGAUAAGUGCUGAAAGCAUCUAAGCACGAAACUUGCCCCGAGAUGAGUUCUCCCUGACUCCUUGAGAGUCCUGAAGGAACGUUGAAGACGACGACGUUGAUAGGCCGGGUGUGUAAGCGCAGCGAUGCGUUGAGCUAACCGGUACUAAUGAACCGUGAGGCUUAACCUU
RNAcentral lists this ribosomal RNA (2902 nucleotides) under Escherichia coli. RNAcentral's name for it is "bacterial LSU rRNA". It matches the Rfam family "Bacterial large subunit ribosomal RNA". Lineage: Bacteria; Pseudomonadati; Pseudomonadota; Gammaproteobacteria; Enterobacterales; Enterobacteriaceae. The record is from RNAcentral. RNAcentral also lists the same sequence under 2 other names.